AAAAUCCUUAGACUGAGGCUAGAGCUCGAGCCAUGGAAGACAUGCAUACCCGUGAACAAAACAGGAAAGAAAAAAAAAGUGUAUGUUAAAUGGCAAAGUUCGAGAGUCUGUUCUAGCCCCACAGGUACUGUUCUGAAAAUGGAAACUCAACCCUGGAGAGGCCAAUAGAAAAAGAGUAGAAGCUCUGGCACAUAAAUUUAAGAUGGAAAUUAGGAAGGCGAAGGAGGACCUCGUAAAUAGCCAAGGACAUAAAGUACAGCAGAAGCAGGAAACUUAUGAGAAGAUUGGUGGGGCUAAUAGCUUAAUAAAGUUUCAAAAGGAGCAAUUGAAGGCAAAGAAAUUGCAAUUACACUGAUCUGUUUCUUCAGGGUGUUAGGGAGAUACCUACUUGGACCUACUCUUUUCUGCUAAUAAAAAUGAGGCAUUGUCAGGGGAGGUGCUGGAACAAAGUGACAGAAAAGAAACAGGGCACCAGACUUGGAUAAUAUGCACCCAAGAGCUCUGAAGGCGUUCAGAUGGGCUGCAGCAAAAACAUGUAAUCAGCAUCUAUGCUGGAGAACUGGAGGGUAGCAAAUGUACUUUAAAAAUGGUUCUUGGGCCCAUUUAAGAAUUACAGGCCCAUAAGCCUUAUUUCAAUAGCAGGAGAAGUGGUUAAAAGGAUAAUAAAAAAUAGACUUACUUACAUGAACAUAACAUGGUAGGGACAAAUCACACAGCUCCUGUAAAAGAAAAUCAUUCCCCUGUUAGCUACUAUAAUGCUUUACAUUAAUCAACAAAAUAGUGGAUAAGCAGAUGUAAUUUAUUAAUAGAAGACCUUCAAAAAAUCUUUAACAAAAUCCCUCAGUGAGGCUUAGGAAACAGCAUGGUCUCAAGUUAUGUACUGAGAGCAUAGGAAUAAAAUGAUUUUCAACAUGGGAAAGAGUUAACAGUAGAGUGCCACAAGGGUCUUUAGUAGAACUGGUGGUGGUAAAUAUAUUAUUGAUCUCUAAUAAGGGGUGAGCAAUGAAGUGGCAAAAGUUGCAACUGGCACAAAAUUAUUAGGUUAGUCAACCGGAGAAAACGCAGAGGGACCUAGACCUAACCAAGCUAUGAGGAGGUGGAUAGGAAGCAGGAUGAUAGAUUAAAUUCAUUAAGAAAUCUGUAGUAGUGCAUAUUGAAAAGAACAAUCUGAGAUACUCUUCAACAUUGCUGCAUUUCAAAACUAACUGUAACCGCUCAGGGGAAAAACCUGCUUAUCGGUGUGAACAAUUCAAUGUAAACCUAUGCUCAGUGCACAGCAGUGGCCUAAACAAUGCAGGUAUUAGGAGGUAUAAAGAAUGGUAUAGAAAAUACAAUAGAUCAUAUGUCAAAGACUAAUGUCCCCAAAGUCAGCUCACCCUGUCUCAAAAAGGGACAUAACAUUAAUAGUAGGGCUUGCAAGACAGGUAACAAGAUUGAAAAGUUAUGGAUACUUCCACACCAAGGAGCUGGGGACCGUUUAGUUUAUACGGAAGAUAUGUAAUAGGAGGUCACAACCAAAAUAUAAAAAUAGAGAAUGGUAUUGAGAACGUAUGAAUCCCGACAGCUAUUCCUCUUUACUAUUUCUAAUAAUGAAGUGGCAAGAUAGUAACUGAAACAGAACAGCAGCAAAUAUAAAAUUUUUUAUAUUUAACAACUAUCGCCUUUAUCUAACACUGCAUAAUUGGCCCAGGGAACUGAUUUCCUUAAGAUACCACUAAGGGCAAGAACUGAGCAGGAUUUUAAAAAGGUUUAGCCAGCCAAUGAAAACAUCUACUCUGUGUCUGUGUUAACUAGGAUGACCAGAUGGUCCAAUAGUAGGGGAUUUAGCUGAUAGAUGCGACUAUCCUCCCUCCCCCCCCUGAAAAAAGGUGUCCUGAUUUUCCACACUUGCUCUCUGGUCACCCUAGUGUUAAUCUUUUUGCUACAAGUAAACCACAAUGAAGUAAAUGUUACAUUUUGUAUUACUACUGCCUCCCAUUAAUUUUUUAUCUCAUUGCAUAAUCUGUAACCCCACUUCCAGCUUUAUCCAACUUUGUGCCACUAUACAUGCCUUGCAGGGAUCACAAAGAUAAAUCCACUUGUGACAUGCACCCCAUAUUCUUCAUAGUGAUAUUAUUAUAUGAUUAUGGCAUAAUUAUGAUGCAUUUUGUACAACAUGGGGUAUGUAAGGUGUCAUUGGAUUUGCUGAAUAUGAUUAUCCUGUUGGUGUGCAUGUAUAUUUUUGUAUCUGAAGUUAUGAAUAUUGACUACAUAUCUGUAUUUCACAUAUAGUCACACCUGGGUGACACCCACAAGGCAAGAUGCUUCCAAUCUAAAUAGCUGGUUGUGCAGGGCCCAUUCAGGGUAAAGUGCCAUUAGGGAAAACAAUAUGCCUCAGGAGAAGCUUAUCCCCCAAUCUGGUGACCUUCCUGUGGAUGUUUCAGCCAGCCUAUAAAUAAUGGCUGCCAUGACUCUGCAAGGGCAUGUGACCAGCCCACAUGACUCUGGACUCCAUUUUGGCAGCCUGUAUUUUCCCAUAAACUGGGCUGGGAACUGUUUUUGGAACAAAGGGUUCCCACCCAGUGCUAAAGCUCUAUAAGGCAGGGAGUGACAUCAGCUGUUGCUCUUCACUCCCCCACAACUGAACACCUGAAAGAAGCUCGGAAAGAAAAGGACUUGGAAUGGGGAUGGGGAGCCUAAGCUGAAAAGCAAGUGAAGCUUGUGCCUUGAGAAUCUGCAAGCCUGUUUGUAUCAUCAGUCAGGCUGGAGAUGAUUCUCAAAGAAGAGAAAUGCUAUAAGAAAGGGGAGCAAACUCCUCAGAUUACCUCUCUCCCCUCAUCUCUACUCAUGGCAUCAACAACACUUGAAAGACAAAGGAAGCACCAUAGAACUGGGGGAAUGGAUCCUGGCUAAAAGGAAUCCAGCCAGACUGCUGUAAGCAUGCGGGGCCAACUCAUACCAGUGGAAAGCAGCUGUUUAUUGGAGAUAUUUUGAACAAUAUGGCAAACUCCAGUUACCUGCAAAUCUGUAGUACCGAUCGUGAUGGAUAUAAAACCCUGGACAAACCUUACUGAAUUAAGUUUAGUAUCUUUGAAAUUCAUUGUAUUACAAAUGCAAGUGUUUACACACUGUGUACAAUUGCAUGGAAAUUUGUUAGAAGGAAGACAGAAUUAAGGCAAUAUUUGGGAGGUAUUAGGAACUUCAAAGGACUUUUUUGGACAAAAUGUGUCAAG
Long non-coding RNA from Mauremys mutica (yellowpond turtle), 3212 nucleotides. RefSeq lists it as uncharacterized. The record is from RefSeq and is a predicted model, not a curated record. NCBI's taxonomy places the organism in Eukaryota, Metazoa, Chordata, Testudines, Geoemydidae. The transcript is spliced from 3 exons.